This 565-nucleotide ribosomal RNA is filed under the name Aureobasidium pullulans. RNAcentral's name for it is "eukaryotic LSU rRNA". It matches the Rfam family "Eukaryotic large subunit ribosomal RNA", at positions 47 to 628 of the family's 3401-position model. The record is from RNAcentral. Lineage: Eukaryota; Fungi; Ascomycota; Dothideomycetes; Dothideales; Saccotheciaceae.
AUAGCGGAGGAAAAGAAACCAACAGGGAUUGCCCUAGUAACGGCGAGUGAAGCGGCAACAGCUCAAAUUUGAAAGCUGGCCUUCGGGUCCGCAUUGUAAUUUGUAGAGGAUGCUUUGGGUGAAACGCCAGUCUAAGUUCCUUGGAACAGGACGUCAUAGAGGGUGAGAAUCCCGUAUGUGACUGGAAAUGUUAACCUAUGUAAAGCUCCUUCGACGAGUCGAGUUGUUUGGGAAUGCAGCUCUAAAUGGGAGGUAAAUUUCUUCUAAAGCUAAAUAUUGGCGAGAGACCGAUAGCGCACAAGUAGAGUGAUCGAAAGAUGAAAAGCACUUUGGAAAGAGAGUUAAAAAGCACGUGAAAUUGUUGAAAGGGAAGCGCUUGCAAUCAGACUUGUUUAAACUGUUCGGCCGGUCUUCUGACCGGUUUACUCAGUUUGGACAGGCCAGCAUCAGUUUCGGCGGCCGGAUAAAGGCUCUGGGAAUGUGGCCUUCACUUCGGUGAAGGUGUUAUAGCCCAGGGUGUAAUACGGCCAGCCGGGACUGAGGUCCGCGCUCGGCUAGGAUGCUG